This 465-nucleotide ribosomal RNA is filed under the name uncultured bacterium. RNAcentral's name for it is "bacterial SSU rRNA". It matches the Rfam family "Bacterial small subunit ribosomal RNA", at positions 330 to 792 of the family's 1533-position model. The record is from RNAcentral.
UCCAGACUCCUACGGGAGGCAGCAGUGAGGAAUAUUGGUCAAUGGGCUUACGCCUGAACCAGCCAAGUCGCGUGAGGGAAGACUGCCCUAUGGGUUGUAAACCUCUUUUGUCAGGGAGCAACGCCGGCUACGUGUAGCCGGACUGAGAGUACCUGAAGAAAAAGCAUCGGCUAACUCCGUGCCAGCAGCCGCGGUAAUACGGAGGAUGCGAGCGUUAUCCGGAUUUAUUGGGUUUAAAGGGUGCGUAGGCGGAAUGCCAAGUCAGCGGUAAAAUGGGGGGACUCAACCUCGCUCCGCCGUUGAAACUGGCGUUCUUGAGUGGGCGAGAAGUAUGCGGAAUGCGUGGUGUAGCGGUGAAAUGCAUAGAUAUCACGCAGAACCCCGAUUGCGAAGGCAGCGUGCCGUGCCGCCACUGACGCUGAGGCACGAAAGCGCGGGGAUCGAACAGGAUUAGAUACCCGCGUA